AACGAACGUUGGCGGCGUGCUUAACACAUGCAAGUCGAGCGAGAACGGUCUCUUCGGAGACUCAGUAGAGCGGCGCACGGGUGAGUAACACGUGAGUAACGUACCUCAAGGUGGGGAAUAACGUUCCGAAAGGAGCGCUAAUGCCGCAUAUGUCUUUCUGGUCUUUGGGCUAGAAAGGGAAAGCUUUAUGCGCCUUGAGAUCGGCUCGCGGUCUAUUAGGUAGUUGGUAGGGUAAUGGCCUACCAAGCCGAAGAUAGAUAGCUGGUCUGAGAGGAUGAUCAGCCACACUGGAACUGAGACACGGUCCAGACUCCUACGGGAGGCAGCAGUGGGGAAUCUUGCGCAAUGGACGAAAGUCUGACGCAGCAACGCCGCGUGGGUGAAGAAGGUUUUCGGAUCGUAAAGCCCUGUCAGGAGGGAAGAAGUCAAUGACGGUACCUCCAAAGGAAGCACCGGCUAACUCCG
RNAcentral lists this ribosomal RNA (465 nucleotides) under uncultured delta proteobacterium. Its description in RNAcentral is "bacterial SSU rRNA". It matches the Rfam family "Bacterial small subunit ribosomal RNA", at positions 29 to 505 of the family's 1533-position model. Lineage: Bacteria; Deltaproteobacteria. The record is from RNAcentral.